This 639-nucleotide unclassified non-coding RNA is filed under the name Hevea brasiliensis (rubber tree). Lineage: Eukaryota; Viridiplantae; Streptophyta; Magnoliopsida; Malpighiales; Euphorbiaceae. The record is from RNAcentral.
UGCCUCUCUCUCUCUCUCUCUCGUGUCUAAUUCUUGUACACACAAAUGUCCUUGAGCAUGUAUGCAUGCUUGGUUGAAUUGGUGUUAAGGUUUAGUUGAUUAGAUUGAGUCUUUUUGACUUUUGUCCUGGUUUAGCUCAAAACCAUUGACCCAGAUAUCUACCUGGUCUUGUUCCUUAUUGCUGUUUUUACUGAGGAAGUAUAUAUUAUUUUCCUACUAUGUCCAUGCUAAUUAGUUCUUCAAAUUAUGCCAAUGUCUUUUUGAAUCAGUGGCUUGUAAAUGCUUAUACUUUAUUUGAGAUUUAUUAUUUUUGCAAAAACUGAAUUUCAAAUCUUGUGCCAGGCCGUCUUGCUAAUACUAAUAAAUGGUGGGUUCACAUUGAUGCCUUUUCAGCCAUGAAUGGAAUAUCUCGGUUUUGUGAAAAUGAUUAUCCAUGGAGGUAUAGUGGAUUUUAUCGGCAAGACGUUUUCAUAGAGUCUCCAUCUCUUCCUCUCUCUCAGUAUUUACAUGCUAUAAUCAUUAUUAUGGUAUGGAAUGUUUGUAUAUCAACAAAAUAAGCUGCGUCAUAAAAUGCAGAUAUUCCAAAGAAGAAGGGAUUACUCUGGAUGAAUUUCGUCACAGAAAUUUUACAUACCUUAU